This 229-nucleotide ribosomal RNA is filed under the name uncultured Staphylococcus sp. RNAcentral describes it as "partial 16S ribosomal RNA". It matches the Rfam family "Bacterial small subunit ribosomal RNA", at positions 111 to 334 of the family's 1533-position model. Lineage: Bacteria; Bacillati; Bacillota; Bacilli; Caryophanales; Staphylococcaceae. The record is from RNAcentral.
UAACACGUGGAUAACCUACCUAUAAGACUGGGAUAACUUCGGGAAACCGGAGCUAAUACCGGAUAAUAUAUUGAACCGCAUGGUUCAAUAGUGAUAGACGGUUUUGCUGUCGCUUAUAGAUGGAUCCGCGCCGCAUUAGCUAGUUGGUAAGAUAACGGCUUACCAAGGCAACGAUGCGUAGCCGACCUGAGAGGGUGAUCGGCCACACUGGAACUGAGACACGGUCCAG